RNAcentral lists this transfer RNA (76 nucleotides) under Acidimicrobiia bacterium. RNAcentral's name for it is "tRNA-Glu". It matches the Rfam family "tRNA". From Rfam's summary of the family: Transfer RNA (tRNA) molecules are approximately 80 nucleotides in length. Their secondary structure includes four short double-helical elements and three loops (D, anti-codon, and T loops). Further hydrogen bonds mediate the characteristic L-shaped molecular structure. tRNAs have two regions of fundamental functional importance: the anti-codon, which is responsible for specific mRNA codon recognition, and the 3' end, to which the tRNAs corresponding amino acid is attached (by aminoacyl-tRNA synthetases). tRNAs cope with the degeneracy of the genetic code in two manners: having more than one tRNA (with a specific anti-codon) for a particular amino acid; and 'wobble' base-pairing, i.e. permitting non-standard base-pairing at the 3rd anti-codon position. RNAcentral also lists the same sequence under 1 other name. The record is from RNAcentral. Lineage: Bacteria; Bacillati; Actinomycetota; Acidimicrobiia.
GGCCCCGUCGUCUAGUGGCCUAGGACGCCGGCCUCUCAAGCCGGUAACGCCAGUUCGAAUCUGGUCGGGGCUGCCA